Molecule: long non-coding RNA, 3169 nt
Organism: Neofelis nebulosa (Clouded leopard)
Lineage: Eukaryota; Metazoa; Chordata; Mammalia; Carnivora; Felidae
Exons: 3
Source: RefSeq, a predicted model, not a curated record
UGAACAGGGGAAGGACAGAGUCGGGAGGUGGCAGGGAUAGAGGAUCUGAAGCAGGCUCUGUGGUGACAGCAGAGAGCACCACGAGGGGUUUGAACCCACGAACCACCAAAUCAUGAUCCGAGCUGAAGUCCAAUGUUUAACCAAUUGAGGCACCCCUAUAAAUGGAGAAACAUUUUUAAAAUUUUGCUUCCAGAUUGUUCAUUGCAAGCAUAUAGAAAUACAAUUGAUUUUUGCCUGUUAAUCUUUUAUCCUGGAACCUUGCUGAACUCUUUUAUUAGUUUUAAUACUUUUUACUGAACUCCUGGAGAUUUUCUACAUACCAGAUUAUGUCAUCUGUGAUUAGAAAUAGUUUUACUUCUUUUUCUAUCUAAAUGCCUUUUAUUUCUCUUUCCUGCCUAGUUGCUCUGACCAGAACCUCUGGUACAAGGUUGAAUAGAAGUGGCAAGAGUGGAUACCAUUGCUUGUUACUGAUCUUAGAGUGAAUGUGUCCAAGUCUCUCACCAUUAAGUAUUAUAUACUAAUUGUAGGUUUUUAAGAUGAUUUAAGAUCUGAUUGAAAAAGUUCUCAUCUAAUUAUAAUUGAUUUUUUUGUAUAUUGAACCAUCCUUGCAUUCCUAAGAUAAAUCCCACAUGGUGAUGGUAUAUAAUUCUAUUUACAUGUCACUGUAUUUGUGUCCAUAUUCAAAAGAUAUAUUGGUUUGAAGUUUAUUUGUGAGGUCUUUUAUGGUUUUAGAGACAGGGUGUCACAGAAUGAGUGAAUAAGUUGGGAAGUAUUCCCUACUGUUCUAUUUCUUUGGAGAAUUUGUGAAGAGUUUAUAUUAAUUUUUUUAAUGUUUCAUAGACUUAAGCAGUAAAGCCACCUGGGCCUGUGCUUUUUUUGAAAAUAGGUUUUUUUGUAUUACUGAUUCAAUCUUUUUACUUGUUAGAGAUCUAUUUGGAUUGUCUAUUUCUACCUGAGUUGAUUACAGUAGUUUGUCUUUCUAGAAAUGUGUUCAUUUUAUCUAAGCUAUCUAAUUUAUUGGCAUACAGUUGUUCAUAGUAUUGCUUUAUAAUUUUUUUUAUUUUUGUAAGGUGGUAAUUUCCCUCUUUUUUUCUGAUUCUAAUAAUCUAGUUUUCUCUCUUAUUUCCUUGAUCAAUAUUAGCUAAAGCUCAUCAAAUUUUUUAACCUUUGCAAAGAAACAGCUCUUGAUUACCUUUAUAUUCUCUAUGGUUUUCAUAUUCUCUCUUUUAUAAAUUAGUGCUCUGAUCUUUAUUACUUCCUUCCUUCUGCUUGUUUUAGGCUUAGUGUAUUCUUUUCCAGUUUAUGUAAUUAAAUUAAAGCUAUAAAAUUUCCCUGUAAGUACUGCCCUAGCUGCAUCCUAUGAGUUUUAGUAUGUUGUGUCCUUGUUUUCAUUUAUCUCAAAUUAUUUUCUUUCUCUUUUGAUUUCUUCUUUGACUCAUCAGUCAUUUAGAGUGUGUGAUUUAAUUUCCACAUAUUUAUGAAUUUCCCAAUUUUAUUUCUGUUAUUGGUGUGAUUUCAUUCUACUGUGGUCAAAAAAGUACUUUGUAUUAUUUCUAUCUUUAAAUGUAUUGAAACUUGUGUUAUAGUUUAUCCCAGAGAAUGUUCCAUAUACACUUGAGAAUAAUGUAUGUAUUACUGUUAUUAAGUGGACUCAUGUUGCUCUUUUAUAGCCACAACAAUUCCCAUUCACCCCAUCAUCUCUUUAAUGUGUUCUCCCUUUCUGCAAUUUUGUCAUUGCAAGAAUGUAAAAUAAGUGGAAUCAUAUAGCAUGUAACCUAUUGGAAUUGGCUUUCUUCACUCAGGAUAAUUGGAAACUAAUUCAAGUUGUUUUAUAUAUCAAUAUUUCAUUUCUGUUGCUAAAUACUAGUUUGUGGUUUUGCUACAUAGUUUUUAUAAUCAUUCACCUAUUGAAGGACAUCAGAGCUGAUUCCAAUUUUUGAUUACUAUAUGUUAAAACUACUAAAUUUUUUGUAUAAACCUACAUCUUUGCUUUUCUUUUUUCUUUUUUUAACUGUUUAUUUAUUUUUAAGAAAGAGAGAGAGCACAAAUAGGGGAGAGCCAGAGAGAGAGGAAGACACAGAACUGAGGCAGGCUCCAGACUCUGAGCCGAGCAACCACAAGCUGAGAAGAUAUCUUGGCCCUGAGCUGUGCCACCUUGGAGAAGGGGUGAUGCAGAUAAGUUAAAGUGUUCCUCUUGCCUUCUCCAAUGCAUCUAAAUUCAUAUUUUUUGCUUCAGUGGUAUGAUGGAACUUCUCCACUGGAAACUUGGACUUCCACAAAGACUCUUUCCUAUAAUUGAUUGUCUAAGACAGCGUUCUCCAGGGGCUCGUGGACCAUGGCCAAGAGGGGCUGGAGUCAGUUCUUGGGUCACUGCAGGGUUCCUGUGAGGACUAAGGUCCAUAUGCCUAUUACCUGAUGCACAGUGAGCAAGACUCCUCCUGGAUCCAUUGGUAUGUAGUACUGGAUCCCAUAGACUAUAGAUGGAUGCCAAAUUGUUGUUGUUGAGGAGGGUCACAAAUGAGAGGAAUAUUAUUAAGCCAUCUUUCUGAUGCCACUCCCUCAUUUAUAAUAUAAGCAUUUACUGCUAAAAUUCCCCUCUCAACAUUGCUUUGGCUACAUUCCACAAAUUUUGUUAUGUUUAAUUUUUAUUUUUGUUCAGUUCAUUGUAUUUUUUAAAAUUUCCCUUGAGCCUUUGUCUUUCAUCCAUGGAUUAUUUUGAAGUAUAUUGUUUAGUUCCCAAGUAUCUAGGGAUAUCCUGUUAUCCUUAUACUGUUGAUUUCUAGUUACUCAACAAAUUUUAAAUUUGUUGAGGUUGUUUUAUAACCUAGUAUAUGGUCCAUUUGAUUUAUAUUCCAUAGGUGCUCGAAAAAAAUGUGCAUUUUGUUGUCACAUGGAGUAUUCUACACAACUCUAUGAGAUCCUGUUUGUUCCUCUUUUCUUCUCUUAGCUGAUUUUAAAAACAAUUGUAUGAAACAAUAUGUUUAUAAUGUUUCUUUGGGCAUAUAACUUAUAGAAAUAUAAAAUACUUGCCAAUAAUAACACAAAGGAAAUGGGUGCAGCGAAACUGUACUGAGCUAAAGAAAUUACUCCAGAUGCCAACUUAAAUACACAAGAACAAAUAAAGAGAACUGGAAAUGAUAAUAAAGAAGGUAAAUAUUUUUUAAAGCUA